GAUCCUCCUGAGCCCAGCGUCAUAGAUGAUGAUCAGUUGGGUGGGUGGGUGGGGGUGGUUUCUCAGGUGGGGGUGCCAAGAUCUAGGGGAAGGGAGAGAUAACGGAGGAGGGGAGAGGGGGUCGAACAGGCGGAGAGUGAGCACUCGAUCCUCCUGAGCUCAGCGUCAUAGAUGAUGAUCAGUUGGGUGGAUGGGUGGGGGUGGUUUCUCAGGUGGGGGUGCCGAGAUCUAGCGGAAGGGAGGGAUAACGGAGGAGGGCGGAGGGGGUCAGACAGGCGGAGAGUGAGGAAUUUGAGAGAAUAUGGAUGGAGAGAGAGAGAGGGAGAGGCGACUAAAAGGCAAAGUGGGAAUAAAAAGGGAAAGAGUCUGAGGGCAAUAGGGAUUUUGAUAGGUUAUGAAGAAAGAUGAUGGGUUGGGAUUUUUUGCAUUUUUGGGAAUUAAGUGGGACUCUUUCUUUGCAAUUUUCUUAAUGCCCAUUUUGCAUUUUGAAAAUAAAAUAAAAUAAAAUAUUGUUUUCGAUCACAAUUUUACAUAAUUUAAGAGCAUCUUCAAUAUAAAUUUUAAAUAAAACCCCCACAAACAUAUAAUUCUUAAAUAAAAAAAAUAAAGGGUAAUAAGUCACUCAUGUAUCUUACCUUGCAAUGUAUAAAGUGUAAAAUAUUGUACUAAUUCAUUAUAUAUAAAUGAUUAUGGUGUGUUUAGACUUCUUUUAUUAAUUACUACAUAUUUUCUACACUCACAAUGUUUGUCAGCUCGUUAUAUAAUCAACUUGAUAAUGUUAAAUCCAUCAUGCAAUGCAUUUCCUUCCAAUUUUUUGUGAUAAACUAA
Molecule: long non-coding RNA, 828 nt
Filed under: Malus domestica (apple)
Lineage: Eukaryota; Viridiplantae; Streptophyta; Magnoliopsida; Rosales; Rosaceae
Description: long non-coding RNA (MDOM_LNC001548)
Source: RNAcentral